RNAcentral lists this ribosomal RNA (228 nucleotides) under uncultured bacterium. RNAcentral's name for it is "partial 16S ribosomal RNA". It matches the Rfam family "Bacterial small subunit ribosomal RNA", at positions 107 to 334 of the family's 1533-position model. The record is from RNAcentral.
UGAGUAACACGUAUCCAACCUGCCGUCUACUCUUGACAGCCUUCUGAAAGGAAGAUUAAUACAAGAUGGCAUCAUGAGUCCGCAUGUUCACAUGAUUAAAGGUAUUUUCCGGUAGACGAUGGGGAUGCGUUCCAUUAGAUAGUAGGCGGGGUAACGGCCCACCUAGUCAACGAUGGAUAGGGGUUCUGAGAGGAAGGUCCCCCACAUUGGAACUGAGACACGGUCCAA